Molecule: long non-coding RNA, 1646 nt
Filed under: Sparus aurata (gilthead seabream)
Lineage: Eukaryota; Metazoa; Chordata; Actinopteri; Spariformes; Sparidae
Description: lncRNA (ENSSAUG00010006331.1)
Source: RNAcentral
CCUCAGCCUCUUCUCCUGCGCGACAACCCUCGUCCUCGCGUUCAUCCACCACGUCAGAUUCUUCAGACACGUCUUCUUCUGAAUCAGAGUAGUGUCCCCUGUCGUGUGAGGACAUCUCAUCCAACACCUGUUUAGCCGUGAAAUCCGCAGUCGCGGGUGGAUGACAUCGCGUCAGACGGACAGUACAGUGCCGGGUUGGUAAUGUCGGGUCAGGUGGACUCGACAGUGCCGGUUGGAUAACGUCGUGUCGUUUGGACACAACAUUUCUGGUUGGAUGACAUCGCGUCAGACGGACAGUACAGUGCAUGUUUGGCAACAUCGUAUCGGUUGGACAGAACAGGGCCGGUUUGUAAGACCAUCAAGUGCCUGUGUGCUACACCAAAGUGACCUGUGACCAUGGCGAGCACGGUGGAUAAAGUGUUAGAAGAAAUGCUGAAGGUGGAAGCGGACAAUGCCCAGAGGCCAGGCUCAAUCAAGUGGGCUUCGCGCAUCCAGAUGCUGCUGGGGUGGAAGCACGACAUAGCAGAGAAACACCAUGGUAUUGGACGCUUUCUGGAUCUUAUCCUGACAGAUUCAGAGUCAGAUGCUGAGCUCCUUGACUGUUAUCAUGCUAAGGAGAAUCCAGUUAAACUGAUGUACAAAGUCAUCGAUCGCUGCCUCGAGAGCGAGGAAAGCGCAAUGAAAUUCCUACAGGUCUUAUUUCAGACGCAGAAAUUCCUCUACUUGGACCUGCUAAAAGACGGACCCAGUGGCAAGUUUGUCAGGAAAGAUCCUCCCGUGGUGGAAUUGACAGAGAAGGUGCGUUCUGCGCUCGGCGAUAAGGUCGCGCAUCUCAAAAACAUGACGGCGACACCCCUUUACAAGAACAGGAUCGUGAAUGUCAACUGCGCCCUGGACGUACUGAUGCGAUACAAUCAGCUGCUUCCAGAGGAAUACGCCGAGUUUGGGGUAAACAAUCGCAAUAUCACCGCUAUGAUUCGGCUACUGCAGAAACUGUGCAGCGACACCACCAUCCCUCAAGCCAACCGGGAGUUCAUCUCAUUGGUGGUGGCCUCCUUCAACAUGCACGCCUUUGACCUUCCGAUGAUGCCUAUGAAUGAUGUGCUAGUGUUUGUAAAGUAAAAUGGAAAAAAAUAAAAUGAAAUAAAAUGUUACUGUGCCAAUCUACAUGUCAUGUCGGUGUGUGUUACAAAUGAAAUAAAACUAUAUUGAACUGAAGAAACUGGUUGACUGGUGGGAUUACAUUGUGUCAGAAAUCCACAUUCAUCUCCGUUUUCGCGUAACAGCACAAGGUUGCCAAAGUGAAAGGUGCAGCACAGGCUGUAUAAAAACAAAACUAAACAAAAAAAACCCAACAAAAACCCAAACAUGUCAGAUGACAUUUAGACUCAUCUCCGUGUUCGCGUAACAGCACAGGUUUGCCAAUGCCAACAGUACAGCACAGGUUGGAUAACAUCGCGUCACAUGCGUAUAUAAAUGCUUACAAGUAGACUGCAGAACAACAGCUCCAUUUAUUCACAACCCUCUCUCUUUCUGCGUACUAAGCCUGUGCGCUGCUACACCAAAAGUCUGUGACCAUGGCGAGCCCCGUCGAUGUGAACACGGUGGACAAAGUGUUAGAAGAAAUGCUGAAGGCAGAAGCGGAC